RNAcentral lists this ribosomal RNA (1442 nucleotides) under Bacillus subtilis. RNAcentral's name for it is "bacterial SSU rRNA". It matches the Rfam family "Bacterial small subunit ribosomal RNA". Lineage: Bacteria; Bacillati; Bacillota; Bacilli; Caryophanales; Bacillaceae. The record is from RNAcentral.
CUAUACAUGCAGUCGAGCGGACAGAUGGGAGCUUGCUCCCUGAUGUUAGCGGCGGACGGGUGAGUAACACGUGGGUAACCUGCCUGUAAGACUGGGAUAACUCCGGGAAACCGGGGCUAAUACCGGAUGGUUGUUUGAACCGCAUGGUUCAAACAUAAAAGGUGGCUUCGGCUACCACUUACAGAUGGACCCGCGGCGCAUUAGCUAGUUGGUGAGGUAACGGCUCACCAAGGCAACGAUGCGUAGCCGACCUGAGAGGGUGAUCGGCCACACUGGGACUGAGACACGGCCCAGAUCUCCUACGGGAGGCAGCAGUAGGGAAUCUUCCGCAAUGGACGAAAGUCUGACGGAGCAACGCCGCGUGAGUGAUGAAGGUUUUCGGAUCGUAAAGCUCUGUUGUUAGGGAAGAACAAAGUACCGUUCGAAUAGGGCGGUACCUUGGACGGUACCUAACCAGAAAGCCACGGCUAACUACGUGCCAGCAGCCGCGGUAAUACGUAGGUGGCAAGCGUUGUCCGGAAUUAUUGGGCGUAAAGGGCUCGCAGGCGGUUUCUUAAGUCUGAUGUGAAAGCCCCCGGCUCAACCGGGGAGGGUCAUUGGAAACUGGGGAACUUGAGUGCAGAAGGAGGAGAGUGGAAUUCCACGUGUAGCGGUGAAAUGCGUAGAGAUGUGGAGGAACACCAGUGGCGAAGGCGACUCUCUGGUCUGUAACUGACGCUGAGGAGCGAAAGCGUGGGGAGCGAACAGGAUUAGAUACCCUGGUAGUCCACGCCGUAAACGAUGAGUGCUAAGUGUUAGGGGGUUUCCGCCCCUUAGUGCUGCAGCUAACGCAUUAAGCACUCCGCCUGGGGAGUACGGUCGCAAGACUGAAACUCAAAGGAAUUGAACGGGGGCCCGCACAAGCGGUGGAGCAUGUGGUUUAAUUCGAAGCAACGCGAAGAACCUUACCAGGUCUUGACAUCCUCUGACAAUCCUAGAGAUAGGACGUCCCCUUCGGGGGCAGAGUGACAGGUGGUGCAUGGUUGUCGUCAGCUCGGUCGUGAGAUGUUGGGUUAAGUCCCGCAACGAGCGCAACCCUUGAUCUUAGUUGCCAGCUAUUCAGUUGGGCACUCUAAGGUGACUGCCGGUGACAAACCGGAGGAAGGUGGGGAUGACGUCAAAUCAUCAUGCCCCUUAUGACCUGGGCUACACACGUGCUACAAUGGACAGAACAAAGGGCAGCGAAACCGCGAGGUUAAGCCAAUCCCACAAAUCUGUUCUCAGUUCGGAUCGCAGUCUGCAACUCGACUGCGUGAAGCUGGAAUCGCUAGUAAUCGCGGAUCAGCAUGCCGCGGUGAAUACGUUCCCGGGCCUUGUACACACCGCCCGUCACACCAAGAGAGUUUGUAACACCCGAAGUCGGUGAGGUAACCUUUAGGAGCCAGCCCCGAAGCUAAAUAAAA